UGCCUCCGUAGCUCAACUGGAUAGAGCACCGGUCUUCGGAACCGGGGGUUAGGGGUUCGAAUCCCUUCGGGGGUAU
RNAcentral lists this transfer RNA (76 nucleotides) under Rosistilla carotiformis. RNAcentral's name for it is "Planctomycetes bacterium Poly24 tRNA-Arg". It matches the Rfam family "tRNA". Rfam says of the family: Transfer RNA (tRNA) molecules are approximately 80 nucleotides in length. Their secondary structure includes four short double-helical elements and three loops (D, anti-codon, and T loops). The record is from RNAcentral. Lineage: Bacteria; Pseudomonadati; Planctomycetota; Planctomycetia; Pirellulales; Pirellulaceae.